Molecule: ribosomal RNA, 2245 nt
Filed under: Salmonella enterica subsp. enterica serovar Bareilly str. CFSAN000190
Lineage: Bacteria; Pseudomonadati; Pseudomonadota; Gammaproteobacteria; Enterobacterales; Enterobacteriaceae
Description: bacterial LSU rRNA
Rfam family: Bacterial large subunit ribosomal RNA
Source: RNAcentral
GUGACUGCGUACCUUUUGUAUAAUGGGUCAGCGACUUAUAUUCUGUAGCAAGGUUAACCGUAUAGGGGAGCCGGAGGGAAACCGAGUCUUAACCGGGCGUUAAGUUGCAGGGUAUAGACCCGAAACCCGGUGAUCUAGCCAUGGGCAGGUUGAAGGUUGGGUAACACUAACUGGAGGACCGAACCGACUAAUGUUGAAAAAUUAGCGGAUGACCUGUGGCUGGGGGUGAAAGGCCAAUCAAACCGGGAGAUAGCUGGUUCUCCCCGAAAGCUAUUUAGGUAGCGCCUCGUGAAUUCAUCUCCGGGGGUAGAGCACUGUUUCGGCUAGGGGGCCAUCCCGGCUUACCAACCCGAUGCAAACUGCGAAUACCGGAGAAUGUUAUCACGGGAGACACACGGCGGGUGCUAACGUCCGUCGUGAAGAGGGAAACAACCCAGACCGCCAGCUAAGGUCCCAAAGUCAUGGUUAAGUGGGAAACGAUGUGGGAAGGCCCAGACAGCCAGGAUGUUGGCUUAGAAGCAGCCAUCAUUUAAAGAAAGCGUAAUAGCUCACUGGUCGAGUCGGCCUGCGCGGAAGAUGUAACGGGGCUAAACCAUGCACCGAAGCUGCGGCAGCGACGUUUAUGCGUUGUUGGGUAGGGGAGCGUUCUGUAAGCCUGCGAAGGUGGCCUGUGAGGGUUGCUGGAGGUAUCAGAAGUGCGAAUGCUGACAUAAGUAACGAUAAAGCGGGUGAAAAGCCCGCUCGCCGGAAGACCAAGGGUUCCUGUCCAACGUUAAUCGGGGCAGGGUGAGUCGACCCCUAAGGCGAGGCCGAAAGGCGUAGUCGAUGGGAAACGGGUUAAUAUUCCCGUACUUGGUGUUACUGCGAAGGGGGGACGGAGAAGGCUAUGUUGGCCGGGCGACGGUUGUCCCGGUUUAAGCGUGUAGGCUGGUUUUCCAGGCAAAUCCGGAAAAUCAAGGCUGAGGCGUGACGACGAGGCACUACGGUGCUGAAGCAACAAAUGCCCUGCUUCCAGGAAAAGCCUCUAAGCAUCAGGUAACAUCAAAUCGUACCCCAAACCGACACAGGUGGUCAGGUAGAGAAUACCAAGGCGCUUGAGAGAACUCGGGUGAAGGAACUAGGCAAAAUGGUGCCGUAACUUCGGGAGAAGGCACGCUGACACGUAGGUGAAGUGAUUUACUCACGGAGCUGAAGUCAGUCGAAGAUACCAGCUGGCUGCAACUGUUUAUUAAAAACACAGCACUGUGCAAACACGAAAGUGGACGUAUACGGUGUGACGCCUGCCCGGUGCCGGAAGGUUAAUUGAUGGGGUCAGCGCAAGCGAAGCUCCUGAUCGAAGCCCCGGUAAACGGCGGCCGUAACUAUAACGGUCCUAAGGUAGCGAAAUUCCUUGUCGGGUAAGUUCCGACCUGCACGAAUGGCGUAAUGAUGGCCAGGCUGUCUCCACCCGAGACUCAGUGAAAUUGAACUCGCUGUGAAGAUGCAGUGUACCCGCGGCAAGACGGAAAGACCCCGUGAACCUUUACUAUAGCUUGACACUGAACAUUGAGCCUUGAUGUGUAGGAUAGGUGGGAGGCUUUGAAGCGUGGACGCCAGUCUGCGUGGAGCCGACCUUGAAAUACCACCCUUUAAUGUUUGAUGUUCUAACGUGGACCCGUAAUCCGGGUUGCGGACAGUGUCUGGUGGGUAGUUUGACUGGGGCGGUCUCCUCCUAAAGAGUAACGGAGGAGCACGAAGGUUGGCUAAUCCUGGUCGGACAUCAGGAGGUUAGUGCAAUGGCAUAAGCCAGCUUGACUGCGAGCGUGACGGCGCGAGCAGGUGCGAAAGCAGGUCAUAGUGAUCCGGUGGUUCUGAAUGGAAGGGCCAUCGCUCAACGGAUAAAAGGUACUCCGGGGAUAACAGGCUGAUACCGCCCAAGAGUUCAUAUCGACGGCGGUGUUUGGCACCUCGAUGUCGGCUCAUCACAUCCUGGGGCUGAAGUAGGUCCCAAGGGUAUGGCUGUUCGCCAUUUAAAGUGGUACGCGAGCUGGGUUUAGAACGUCGUGAGACAGUUCGGUCCCUAUCUGCCGUGGGCGCUGGAGAACUGAGGGGGGCUGCUCCUAGUACGAGAGGACCGGAGUGGACGCAUCACUGGUGUUCGGGUUGUCAUGCCAAUGGCACUGCCCGGUAGCUAAAUGCGGAAGAGAUAAGUGCUGAAAGCAUCUAAGCACGAAACUUGCCCCGAGAUGAGUUCUCCCUGAGACUU